RNAcentral lists this non-coding RNA (130 nucleotides) under Streptomyces sp. Lineage: Bacteria; Bacillati; Actinomycetota; Actinomycetes; Kitasatosporales; Streptomycetaceae. The record is from RNAcentral.
AACGAGGAAGCCGGUGUGAAUCCGGCGCGGUCCCGCCACUGUGAUCGGCGAGCGAGCCCCGCACAUGACCACUGCCCGCACCAGGGUGGGAAGGCGCGGAGCGCGCAUCGACCCGAGAGCCAGGAGACUC